CCUACGGGAGGCAGCAGUGAGGAAUAUUGGUCAAUGGACGAGAGUCUGAACCAGCCAAGUAGCGUGAAGGAUGACUGCCCUAUGGGUUGUACACUUCUUUUAUCAAGGAAUAAAACGAGUCACGUGUGCCUUUUUGCAUGUACUUUAUGAAUAAGCAUCGGCUAACUCCGUGCCAGCAGCCGCGGUAAUCCGGAGGAUCCGAGCGUUAUCCGGAUUUAUUGGGGUUAAAGGGAGCGUAGGUGGGUUGUUAAGUCAGGUGUGAAAGUUUGCGGCUCAACCGUAAAAUUGCAAUUGAUACUGGCAGUCUUGAGUACAGUUGAGGUAGGCGGAAUUCGUGGUGUAGCGGUGAAAUGCUUAGAUAUCACGAAGAACCCCGAUUGCGAAGGCAGCUUACUAGACUGUGUCUGACAUUGAUGCUCGAAAGUGUGGGUAUCGAACAGGAUUAGAUACCCGGGUAGUC
RNAcentral lists this ribosomal RNA (460 nucleotides) under uncultured bacterium. RNAcentral's name for it is "partial 16S ribosomal RNA". It matches the Rfam family "Bacterial small subunit ribosomal RNA", at positions 338 to 795 of the family's 1533-position model. The record is from RNAcentral.